UUCGAAUGUUUAAAAAAGGAAAACAUUCAGCAGUCUGAUAAUGCAAUCAUAAUAAGAAUUCCUGAAUUAACUAGAGUAGAGUCACGAAUAAGUUGACAAAGCUACUGAAGAUUUUAUACGUAGGACAAUUUACGGGGUUGUAACAUUAGAAGUAACACAGCAAAAGGUAUACUAGUUUAGAAACAUUGAUUCAAGUUUUGUCAGGAUGUGGUUUUAAACACAAAAAACUGAAUAAACUGGUGGCAAAGAUCGUUCGAUGGCGUCAGAUAAAAGACUACCGAAAUUCUAAUAGACGAAUGGGGUACAAAAGGUCUCAGUUCCCGUCUGGUACCCAGUUUAAACCGAACACCCUUACAGGUAAUAAACUAUCUGUGUACCUUUCAUCCAAAUCCGUUCACGUAAUUGAGUAAGAAACAUCCAAACUUUCACAUUUACAAUGUAAAGAAGGAUAUUCAAUAAUUUCGUGCUUGCACAGUCGUAAAUAAUUGUGACAAUAAAAUGUAUGCUCUCGAAAUUAAAACGAUACAAAACGUGUUCUGCGGUUCGACAAUUCAUGACCUUUAAUUUUUAUUUUAAUAUGAUAUUGUGGAAGGUAUGCACUUAACGGGAAUUUUUUUAAUCGCUAGAAAAUGUAUUUUGCCAAUUUCAAGGCAGUGUAAUUCGAUUAUUUACUUAAUUUAUAAAUUAAAUUUAUUAUUGUCAGUAAAGUAGUCUAGACGUAUUGAGGUUAUGUACUGUAAAUACAAACAGAAAACAUUAUACGUUGAACAUCUGUUUUAAAACAAACCUCGUUAGCAAAUAAUAAUAAAUCGGAGAUGUUUACAACAAAAAUAAAUCGAUGAAAAAUGGAGAGAGGUUCGUUGAAUUGUUUGUGAAUGGGUUGGUGACAUUAGUCUUGUAGGAUGAUUAAUAUCUUAUAUUCGGUCCAGAUAUGGGAAAAAUUUUCCUCUGCAAACUUUGAAUUAUGGUGGAUUUAGGAGGAAAGUGUAGUACGGAAUGAACAGAACAAAAAAAACUUGACAAUUUUUCGGAGAUUGAAAGAUUUUUUUUUUAUUUAAGUAAGCUGACAAAAAAACUGCAAGGAUUUAAAAAAUGAAAAUAAAACUGUAUAUAAGAUGUUAAUAUAGUUGAAAUCCCACAAUUCGUAUGAGUGGUUCAUAUUGUAGAUCGAUUUUAUAGGUCAUAUAACCUAGACAAAAGUUAUUUUCUUAGUAAAUUUUUGAAUAGCGACACAAAGGGAAAGAUCCCGUAUUAGUUUAUAAAAAAGUCGUUACACUCUCGUAGCAAGAGACUAUAGGGCAUGUGUUACCAUUAGCAAUCAGCAAAUAUUAACAAAAAUCUCAAUUUAUAAAACGAAUUCCAUUUGUUUUCAGAUCGUCUUGAUUUUAGGCCUCCUCUGUUAUAAAAUUAGUUUUUUCUAAUAAUUUUUGAAAGAUAGAUAAAAUUUUUUACGUUUCGACUACUUGCAGUCCUUACUAGAUAAAAUUAAUUCCAUUUAUUUAAUAAUUUUGUUCUCAUUAUUUCUUAACAAUUCUUAUAAUAAUUGAUUUAUGUAAUGAAAAAUAUGAUACACAAAUAAAAGUUUCAAUUUUGUAA
Molecule: long non-coding RNA, 1596 nt
Organism: Diorhabda sublineata
Lineage: Eukaryota; Metazoa; Arthropoda; Insecta; Coleoptera; Chrysomelidae
Exons: 2
Source: RefSeq, a predicted model, not a curated record